UACAGAGGCCCCGAGCGUUAUCCGGAAUUAUUGGGCGUAAAGGGUGUGUAGGUGGCAUUGUUAGUCUUUCGUUAAAGCCCCGGGCUUAACCUGGGAAGUGCGAAAGAAACGGCAAAGCUUGAGUAUGUGAGAGGUAAGCGGAACUCAUGGUGUAGGGGUGAAAUCCGUUGAUAUCAUGGGGAACACCAAAAGCGAAGGCAGCUUACUGGCACAUUACUGACAUUGAAACACGAAAGCGUGGGUAGCGAAUGGG
This 253-nucleotide ribosomal RNA is filed under the name uncultured bacterium. RNAcentral's name for it is "partial 16S ribosomal RNA". It matches the Rfam family "Bacterial small subunit ribosomal RNA", at positions 524 to 776 of the family's 1533-position model. The record is from RNAcentral.